Molecule: ribosomal RNA, 450 nt
Filed under: uncultured bacterium
Lineage: Bacteria
Description: bacterial SSU rRNA
Rfam family: Bacterial small subunit ribosomal RNA
Source: RNAcentral
AACGAACGCUGGCGGCAGGCUUAACACAUGCAAGUCGAACGAUGUAGCAAUACAUAGUGGCGCACGGGUGAGUAACGCGUGGGAAUAUACCUUAUAGUGGGGAAUAACUUUGGGAAACUAAAGCUAAUACCGCAUACGCCCGAGAGGGGAAAGAUUUAUCGCUAUAAGAUUAGCCCGCGUGAGAUUAGGUAGUUGGUGGGGUAAUGGCCUACCAAGCCUACGAUCUCUAGCUGGUCUGAGAGGAUGAUCAGCCACACUGGAACUGAGACACGGUCCAGACUCCUACGGGAGGCAGCAGUGGGGAAUAUUGGGCAAUGGAGGAAACUCUGACCCAGCCAUGCCGCGUGAAUGAUGAAGGCCUUAGGGUUGUAAAGUUCUUUCACCGAUGAAGAUAAUGACGGUAGUCGGAGAAGAAGCCCCGGCUAACUUCGUGCCAGCAGCCGCGGUAAU